GGCUGGAUCACCUCCUUUCUAAGGAGUACAAAGAACGACAGUUCAAUUAAAAUUCUUAGUUUUAUCACUGUUUUUUUGGUUCAUAUUUUUUUUAAGAUUUUUAAAGUUUAAACCAAAAGCUGUAAGGCUAACUAAAAGAGAAUACCAAAAUGAUAGUAUAGAGGGAGAAGGGGCACGCAAGACCCUCAAAAAUUUAUAUUAUCGUAAAAAAACAUUUUGGGGGUGUAGCUCAGUUGGGAGAGCACCUGCCUUGCAAGCAGGGGGUCAGGAGUUCGAAUCUCCUCAUCUCCACCAAGGAACCUGACAAUUAAAGAGAAAUAUAUUUCUGGUCAAGCGACCAAGGGCAUAAGGUGAAUGCCUUGGCACUGAGAGCCGAAGAAGGACGUGACAAGCUGCGAAAAGUCUCGGGGAGGAGCAAAUAUCCUUAGAUC
RNAcentral lists this unclassified non-coding RNA (431 nucleotides) under Parvimonas micra. RNAcentral describes it as "partial 16S-23S ribosomal RNA intergenic spacer". The stretch from base 328 to 431 matches the Rfam family "Bacterial large subunit ribosomal RNA", at positions 1 to 104 of the family's 2925-position model. The record is from RNAcentral. Lineage: Bacteria; Bacillati; Bacillota; Tissierellia; Tissierellales; Peptoniphilaceae.